AGAGUUUGAUCAUGGCUCAGGACGAACGCUGGCGGCGCGCUUAACACAUGCAAGUCGAGCGAGAACCAGUCCUUCGGGACUGGGGAAAGCGGCGAACGGGUGAGUAACACGUGGGUAACCUGCCUCGAUGACCGGGACAACCCGGGGAAACCCGGGCUAAUACCGGAUGUGCUCCCUCACAUCAGUGAGGAUAGGAAAGGAAGCUUCGGCCUCCGCAUCGAGAUGGGCCCGCGGCCCAUUAGCUUGUUGGUGAGGUAAUGGCUCACCAAGGCUGCGAUGGGUAGCUGGUCUGAGAGGACGAUCAGCCACACUGGGACUGAGACACGGCCCAGACUCCUACGGGAGGCAGCAGUAGGGAAUCUUGCGCAAUGGGCGAAAGCCUGACGCAGCGACGCCGCGUGCGGGAAGAAGGCCUUCGGGUUGUAAACCGCUUUCAGGAGGGACGAAGCCACUCGGGUUAAUAGCCCAGAGGGUGACGGUACCUCCAGAAGAAGCCCCGGCUAACUACGUGCCAGCAGCGGCGGUAAUAC
RNAcentral lists this ribosomal RNA (530 nucleotides) under uncultured bacterium. Its description in RNAcentral is "bacterial SSU rRNA". It matches the Rfam family "Bacterial small subunit ribosomal RNA", at positions 8 to 526 of the family's 1533-position model. The record is from RNAcentral.